This 245-nucleotide ribosomal RNA is filed under the name uncultured bacterium. RNAcentral describes it as "partial 16S ribosomal RNA". It matches the Rfam family "Bacterial small subunit ribosomal RNA", at positions 1257 to 1500 of the family's 1533-position model. The record is from RNAcentral.
GUGAGGUGGGAGCGAAUCACAAAACUCGGUCUCAGUUCAGAUUGCAGGCUGCAACUCGCCUGCAUGAAGUUGGAAUUGCUAGUAAUCGCGAAUCAGAAUGUCGCGGUGAAUACGUUCCCGGGCCUUGUACACACCGCCCGUCACACCAUGAGAGUCGAUAACACCCGAAGCCUGUGAGCUAACCUUUUAGGAGGCAGCAGUCGAAGGUGGGGUUGAUGAUUGGGGUGAAGUCGUAACAAGGUACC